Molecule: non-coding RNA, 2259 nt
Organism: Equus caballus (horse)
Lineage: Eukaryota; Metazoa; Chordata; Mammalia; Perissodactyla; Equidae
Source: RefSeq, a predicted model, not a curated record
ACGUCGAGAACAGUCAGGUCUGCCUCGUGGGAACAGAAGGUUCCCAGAGUGGGGUCUGGGGCAGAGAACUCUCUCCCUGUCCCCAAGGCUCGGACUCACGCCUCCCCACCUUGGUCCCGGGGUGGGGGUCAGGCCCCUGCGAGUCGUCUGCACCUGGCAAGGCAUCCUGGGCAACCUGGGGGCAGCUCCUGCCUGACAUCCCGCAGGCCCGAGGAAUGUGGUGGGAGCCCAGGUUGACUGUGUCACUUAUCCACCACUGUGUAAUGGAUUACCCCAAAUGACAGUAAACAUUGGGUACACCCCCUGUUUUCUGUGGGCAGGAACUCGGGAGUGGCUGGGCUGGAUGCCUCUGGCUUGGGGGGGCAGUGUGGUCUCUUGUGAGGUCACUGUCAGGUGUUGGCUGGGACUGCCGUCAUCAGGAGGCUGGACUGGGGCUGGGGACUCAGCUUUCAAGGAGGCACACUCCCAGGGCUGGCAACUGGGGCUGGCUGUUGGCGAGAGGCCUCGGCUCCCUUGCGUGGGCUGCCGCCCCGUGGCACUGGCUUCCCCCAGAGGAAGCAGUCCCAGAGCAGGGCGGAAGCUGCAACGCCAUAUGACUUAACCUCGGAAGUCACGCUGUCACUUCUGCAAUAUCCUAUCCGUUACGCAGUUUGGCUCUGUUGGGGGAGGGUGGCACUGCAUGAGGGUGUGACCAUCGGGAGGAGAGAAUCACUGGGACCCACGCAGGAGGAGGCAGGUGGUCAGAUCGCGGUGAACCAGCCCUCUACGUGGGCUCCACAUGCCCCACUGCAGCCUCCUGUGUGCCAGCACUGUGCCGGCUUUGGGUGUGUGGGGGGAAGGAAGCAGACCCAGCCUCGGUCAAGCAGAGAAAGGACUCGAUCCAGUCAGAGGGCUCAUCAGGUUCCUGUUUCCAGAUAGGGAAACUGAGGCUUCGAGAGGAAGGGAGACUUAGUCACGAUCAGGCAGCAAAUAAGCGGUGAGGCCGUGAUUCAAGCGCAGGCCUGGCUGACCCGGGCCCCAGCUCUGUCCAGGGAGGCAGGCCCCCUGCGGCCUGGGAGUGCAAGUAUGAUCUCAGCAGGUGACGGCCGGGCGGCCCCAGAGGCCUCUGGGCUGGAGGCCCAGCAGGGAAAGCACGAGGCAUCUCUGGGGAUGGCACAUCUCGGGCCGGCCAGGGCACCGGCGGGCCGUGGGAGAGCAGCCGGGAGGGGCGGGGCAGGGAGGCGCCGCCAGACAGGGGGUCUGGAAGCCGGGCGCUGGCCUCAGGGGAGAGGAAUGAACGGGGGCGGCCGGGCCACCCUGCCAAGGCAGCUGUGUGUGGACCAUGCGGGGUGAGGUGAAUUUUUCCAUACAUGCUAAGACCAAGGACGGGCCAGAAACCACUCUAGAGAGGGCAGGCUUCCUCCCCACUCGGCCCCUACCGAUGACAGCGUCAGUGAACACAGCCACGGGCCAGUGAAGUCACUCUGAGGACCUCACGAGGAAGCCACUGCUACUGGUCCCAUGCUGCAGACGCAGAAACUGAGGCACGGAGAGGGGAGCGACCCUCCGAGGCCGCACGGGCGGUACCCGCACGGGUCUGGCUGCCUCUGCGCUCCUUCCUUCCCCAGACACCCCUCCAGGCGGCGGGUGAUACCCUCGGUUCCCAUACUGUGGGAUGUUCAGAGGGCUGGGGAAAAUGGGUGGGCAGCAAGGAGGGGGAAGGGCUUCUGGGUGAGGCUUCCAGGGAGGCCAAGGCUGAGAGGGGGAGAGGGCAGAGGCGGGUGGACAGCACGGGGAGCUUCCGGGCCUGCAGUCAAGUGUAUGAGCCGGCCAGUGACCCUCAGCGCCACACGCGACAACAGCACAGUCAUAACCCAUGUGAGGACGGCAGCUCCGCUCCUCCUCACAGCUCAGGAGAUGUCUUCAGGGCAGAAGGAAACCUCAAGCCAGGUGUGCUGUGGCCCCAGCUCUAAGCACGUUGCACGCAUCAACCCUUGUAACACCCUUGGGCCAGACGGACCCAGCACUACCCUCACACGGCACAGGUGGAGAAACUGAGGCACGGAGCACUGCCUGAGAAGACAUGGCAAUGGAGAGACGGAGCUGGGGUCUGAACCUGGACCACCUGGCCAGAGGCCCCGGGCUUAACCCCUCUGCUGCCCGACCCUGUUGCUGAGGUCAGCAUGUUUCAAAGGAAAAGCCACAUCACUUCUGAAAAAUGGCUGCCUUCAACAGAGGGCACCAGAAAAACAAGUAUAAUAAAGACAGAACCUGGUUUUA